UGGGGAAUUUUGGACAAUGGGGGAAACCCUGAUCCAGCCAUCCCUCGUGUGUGAUGAAGGCCUUCGGGUUGUAAAGCACUCUUUGCAGGAAAGAAACGUCAUGGGUUAAUACCCCGUGAAACUGACGGUACCUGCAGAAUAAGCACCGGCUAACUACGUGCCAGCAGCCGCGGUAUUACGUAGGGUGCAAGCGUUAAUCGGAAUUACUGGGCGUAAAGCGUGCGCAGGCGGUUCGGAAAGAAAGAUGUGAAAUCCCAGAGCUCAACUAUGGAACUGCAUUACUAAAUACCGGGCGUGAGGGUGUCGGAGGGGGGUGGAAUGCCGGGGGGAGCAGUGGAAUGCGUAGAUAUGCGGAGGAAAACCGAGGGGGAAGGCAGCCUGGUGGGAUAAGACUGACGAGCAUGCACGAAAGCGGAGGGAGCAAACAGG
RNAcentral lists this ribosomal RNA (429 nucleotides) under Acidobacteriota bacterium. RNAcentral describes it as "Acidobacteria bacterium partial 16S ribosomal RNA". It matches the Rfam family "Bacterial small subunit ribosomal RNA", at positions 355 to 776 of the family's 1533-position model. Lineage: Bacteria; Pseudomonadati; Acidobacteriota. The record is from RNAcentral.